UGCUCUAUAGCUUAAUGGAUAAAGCAACAGAUUUCUAAUCUGUGUAUCUGAGUUCGAUUCUCAGUAGAGUAA
This 72-nucleotide transfer RNA is filed under the name Crassvirales sp. RNAcentral describes it as "tRNA-Arg". It matches the Rfam family "tRNA". From Rfam's summary of the family: Transfer RNA (tRNA) molecules are approximately 80 nucleotides in length. The record is from RNAcentral. Lineage: Duplodnaviria; Heunggongvirae; Uroviricota; Caudoviricetes; Crassvirales.